ACGAAUAUGCCGCAUUGCAUCGAUUGUUGUUGAUGUGGGUGAAUGUUGGAUGACCCAAUUAGUCCAUGACAGGAAGACCAGGACCCCAUUCUACGGCCUGACACUAUGUAAGGAAAGACCAGGACCCCAUUCUACGGCCUGGCACGGUUAUGGGACUCGAAGACCAGGAGCCCAGAGGAGGCCCUGGGGCAAAUGGUAAGUAAUGUAUGUUAUGACAGGAAGACCAGGACCCCAUGCUAUGGCCUGGCACAAUGUUAGCUUGGACUAUUUGGUGACAAGUUCACCCAACCCUUAUGUGAAUUGUCUGUGUUAUGAUGCAUUUCAUUGGAGCAUAG
This 335-nucleotide long non-coding RNA is filed under the name Manihot esculenta (cassava). RNAcentral's name for it is "long non-coding RNA (MESC_LNC008990)". The record is from RNAcentral. Lineage: Eukaryota; Viridiplantae; Streptophyta; Magnoliopsida; Malpighiales; Euphorbiaceae.